GAUGAACGCUGGCGGCGUGCCUAAUACAUGCAAGUCGAGCGAACGGACGAGAAGCUUGCUUCUCUGAUGUUAGCGGCGGACGGGCGAGUAACACGUGGAUAACCUACCUAUAAGACUGGGAUAACUUCGGGAAACCGGAGCUAAUACCGGAUAAUAUUUUGAACCGCAUGGUUCAAAAGUGAAAGACGGUCUUGCUGUCACUUAUAGAUGGAUCCGCGCUGCAUUAGCUAGUUGGUAAGGUAAAGGCUUACCAAGGCAACGAUGCAUAGCCGACCUGAGAGGGUGAUCGGCCACACUGGAGCUGAGACACGGUCCAGACUCCUACGGGAGGCAGCAGUAGGGAAUCUUCCGCAAUGGGCGAAAGCCUGACGGAGCAACGCCGCGUGAGUGAUGAAGGUCUUCGGAUCGUAAAACUCUGUUAUUAGGGAAGAACAUAUGUGUAAGUAACUGUGCACAUCUUGACGGUACCUAAUCAGAAAGCCACGGCUAACUACGUG
This 497-nucleotide ribosomal RNA is filed under the name uncultured bacterium. RNAcentral describes it as "partial 16S ribosomal RNA". It matches the Rfam family "Bacterial small subunit ribosomal RNA", at positions 28 to 507 of the family's 1533-position model. The record is from RNAcentral.